RNAcentral lists this ribosomal RNA (2899 nucleotides) under Proteus mirabilis. RNAcentral describes it as "23S ribosomal RNA". It matches the Rfam family "Bacterial large subunit ribosomal RNA". Lineage: Bacteria; Pseudomonadati; Pseudomonadota; Gammaproteobacteria; Enterobacterales; Morganellaceae. The record is from RNAcentral.
UUAAGCGAAUAAGCGUACACGGUGGAUGCCUAGGCAAUCAGAGGCGAUGAAGGACGUGCUAAUCUGCGAAAAGCGUCGGUAAGGUGAUAUGAACCGUUAUACCCGACGAUAUCCGAAUGGGGAAACCCAGUAUCCAAUGGAUACUAUCAUUAACUGAAUCCAUAGGUUAAUGAGGCGAACCGGGAGAACUGAAACAUCUCAGUACCCCGAGGAAAAGAAAUCAACCGAGAUUCCCCUAGUAGCGGCGAGCGAACGGGGAGCAGCCCAGAGUCUUAAUCAAUAGCAGUGUCAGGAGAACGGUCUGGAAAGUCCGGCAGUAAAGGGUGAUAGCCCCGUAUCUGAAGAUGCUGUUAUUGUGAACUCGACGAGUAGGGCGGGACACGUGUUAUCCUGUCUGAAUAUGGGGGGACCAUCCUCCAAGGCUAAAUACUCCUGAUUGACCGAUAGUGAACCAGUACCGUGAGGGAAAGGCGAAAAGAACCCCGGCGAGGGGAGUGAAAAAGAACCUGAAACCGUGUACGUACAAGCAGUAGGAGCCUCUUUAUGGGGUGACUGCGUACCUUUUGUAUAAUGGGUCAGCGACUUAUAUUCUGUAGCAAGGUUAACCGUAUAGGGGAGCCGUAGGGAAACCGAGUCUUAACUGGGCGAAUGAGUUGCAGGGUAUAGACCCGAAACCCGGUGAUCUAUCCAUGGGCAGGUUGAAGGUUGGGUAACACUAACUGGAGGACCGAACCGACUAAUGUUGAAAAAUUAGCGGAUGACUUGUGGAUGGGGGUGAAAGGCCAAUCAAACCGGGAGAUAGCUGGUUCUCCCCGAAAGCUAUUUAGGUAGCGCCUCGUGAAUUCAUCUUCGGGGGUAGAGCACUGUUUCGACUAGGGGGUCAUCCCGACUUACCAACUCGAUGCAAACUGCGAAUACCGAAGAAUGUUAUCACGGGAGACACACGGCGGGUGCUAACGUCCGUCGUGAAGAGGGAAACAACCCAGACCGCCAGCUAAGGUCCCAAAGUCAUGGUUAAGUGGGAAACGAAGUGGGAAGGCUCAGACAGCCAGGAUGUUGGCUUAGAAGCAGCCAUCAUUUAAAGAAAGCGUAAUAGCUCACUGGUCGAGUCGGCCCGCGCGGAAGAUGUAACGGGGCUAAACCAUGCACCGAAGCUGCGGCAGCGACACAAAGUGUUGUUGGGUAGGGGAGCGUUCUGUAAGCCUGCGAAGGUGUACUGUGAGGUAUGCUGGAGGUAUCAGAAGUGCGAAUGCUGACAUAAGUAACGAUAAUGCGGGUGAAAAACCCGCACGCCGGAAGACCAAGGGUUCCUGUCCAACGUUAAUCGGGGCAGGGUGAGUCGACCCCUAAGGCGAGGCUGAAAAGCGUAGUCGAUGGGAAACGGGUUAAUAUUCCCGUACUGGUGGUAACUGCGAUGGGGGAACGGAGAAGGCUAGGUUGUCCGGGCGACGGUCGUCCCGGUUCAAGCAGGUAGGCAGAGUGAUUAGGCAAAUCCGGUCACUUAAUGCUGAGAUGUGAUGACGAACCACCAAGGUGGUGAAGCAAUUGAUGCCCCGCUUCCAGGAAAAGCCUCUAAGCUUCAGGUUACCAACAAUCGUACCCCAAACCGACACAGGUGGUCAGGUAGAGAAUACUCAGGCGCUUGAGAGAACUCGGGUGAAGGAACUAGGCAAAAUGGUGCCGUAACUUCGGGAGAAGGCACGCUGGCGGUAGGUAAAGUCCCUCGCGGACGGCGCUGAAGCCAGUCGAAGAUACCAGCUGGCUGCAACUGUUUAUUAAAAACACAGCACUGUGCAAACACGAAAGUGGACGUAUACGGUGUGACGCCUGCCCGGUGCUGGAAGGUUAAUUGAUGGGGUUAGCCGCAAGGCGAAGCUCCUGAUCGAAGCCCCAGUAAACGGCGGCCGUAACUAUAACGGUCCUAAGGUAGCGAAAUUCCUUGUCGGGUAAGUUCCGACCUGCACGAAUGGCGUAAUGAUGGCCAGGCUGUCUCCACCCGAGACUCAGUGAAAUUGAACUCGCUGUGAAGAUGCAGUGUACCCGCGGCAAGACGGAAAGACCCCGUGAACCUUUACUAUAGCUUGACACUGAACAUUGAGCCUUGAUGUGUAGGAUAGGUGGGAGGCUUUGAAGUGUGGACGCCAGUCUGCAUGGAGCCAACCUUGAAAUACCACCCUUUAACGUUUGAUGUUCUAACCUAGGCCCAUAAACUGGGUCGGGGACCGUGUCUGGUGGGUAGUUUGACUGGGGCGGUCUCCUCCUAAAGAGUAACGGAGGAGCACGAAGGUUGGCUAAGCAUGGUCGGACAUCAUGCGGUUAGUGCAAAGGCAUAAGCCAGCUUGACUGCGAGAGUGACGGCUCGAGCAGGUACGAAAGUAGGUCUUAGUGAUCCGGUGGUUCUGAAUGGAAGGGCCAUCGCUCAACGGAUAAAAGGUACUCCGGGGAUAACAGGCUGAUACCGCCCAAGAGUUCAUAUCGACGGCGGUGUUUGGCACCUCGAUGUCGGCUCAUCACAUCCUGGGGCUGAAGUAGGUCCCAAGGGUAUGGCUGUUCGCCAUUUAAAGUGGUACGCGAGCUGGGUUUAGAACGUCGUGAGACAGUUCGGUCCCUAUCUGCCGUGGGCGUUGGAAGAUUGAGAGGGGUUGCUCCUAGUACGAGAGGACCGGAGUGAACGCACCACUGGUGUUCGGGUUGUCAUGCCAAUGGCAUUGCCCGGUAGCUAAGUGCGGAAGAGAUAACCGCUGAAAGCAUCUAAGCGGGAAACUUGCCUCGAGAUGAGUCUUCCCUGUCGCUUUAAGCGACCUAAAGGAACGUUUAAGACUAAGACGUUGAUAGGCUGGGUGUGUAAGCGUAGCGAUACGUUGAGCUAACCAGUACUAAUGAACCGUGAGGCUUAACC